GGUCGCAUAGCUCAGCUGGGAGAGCACCUGCCUUACAAGCAGGGGGUCACAGGUUCGAUCCCUGUUACGACCACCA
Molecule: transfer RNA, 76 nt
Filed under: Clostridium perfringens
Lineage: Bacteria; Bacillati; Bacillota; Clostridia; Eubacteriales; Clostridiaceae
Description: tRNA-Val
Rfam family: tRNA
About the family: Transfer RNA (tRNA) molecules are approximately 80 nucleotides in length. Their secondary structure includes four short double-helical elements and three loops (D, anti-codon, and T loops).
Source: RNAcentral